AGCUUUGCGCAGUGGUAAUAUCAUAGCCAAUGAAGGUUUACUGAGGUGUGAUUAUUGCUAUUUGAAACUUAUUGUAGCAACUUUCUAUCUAAGUUUGUAAGAUCAAUAUUUAAAAUCUGUCACUAUUU
Small nuclear RNA from Protopterus annectens (West African lungfish), 128 nucleotides. RefSeq annotates it as U4 spliceosomal RNA. The transcript has a single exon. Lineage: Eukaryota; Metazoa; Chordata; Ceratodontiformes; Protopteridae. The record is from RefSeq and is a predicted model, not a curated record.